RNAcentral lists this ribosomal RNA (458 nucleotides) under uncultured bacterium. RNAcentral describes it as "partial 16S ribosomal RNA". It matches the Rfam family "Bacterial small subunit ribosomal RNA", at positions 338 to 795 of the family's 1533-position model. The record is from RNAcentral.
CCUACGGGCGGCAGCAGUGAGGAAUAUUAGUCAAUGGGCGAGAGCCUGAACCAGCCAAGUCGCGUGAGGGAGUACUGCCCUAUGGGUUGUAAACCUCUUUUGUCGGGGAGCAAAAGCCGGACGUGUCCGGCUGUGAGAGUACCCGAAGAAAAAGCAUCGGCUAACUCCGUGCCAGCAGCCGCGGUAAUACGGAGGAUGCGAGCGUUAUCCGGAUUUAUUGGGUUUAAAGGGUGCGCAGGCGGAUUUUUAAGUCAGCGGUAAAAUCGUGGGGCUCAACCCCAUCCAGCCGUUGAAACUGGGGAUCUAGAGUGUGCGAGAGGUAUGCGGAAUGCGUGGUGUAGCAGUGAAAUGCAUAGAUAUCGCGCAGAACCCCGAUUGCGAAGGCAGCAUACCGGUGCACAACUGACGCUCAGGCACGAAAGCGUGGGUAUCGAACAGGAUUAGAUACCCGUGUAGUC